Molecule: long non-coding RNA, 3263 nt
Organism: Spinacia oleracea (spinach)
Lineage: Eukaryota; Viridiplantae; Streptophyta; Magnoliopsida; Caryophyllales; Amaranthaceae
Exons: 3
Source: RefSeq, a predicted model, not a curated record
UUUCCUAAUUUCAUUAUCCCGCUGUAACCUCUCACAAUACCUACUCUCACAAAGUUUUCUCUUUAAUUUCAUUCACUUUCCCCUCCGCUCUUACAAUUCCUCUCUAGUGCGACUCAUCUUCUUCAAAUCGGUUGAUUUUCGGUGUUCCUGCAUAUGUUUUCACCUUCAUUGCGGUUACUCCUAUUUCAAUUUGCUAGGUACGUAUGUAAUUAAUAUGAUAUUUUGUUUCAAUUUUCGCUAUUUUGAUUGCUACAUUUAGGGAUCAAAAUUUGUUCAACUUGUUCAACGAAUUUCAAUUGUUGAAGUUAGGGUUUCAAAUAUUCUUUGUUUCAUUGUUUUUAAUUGCGAUUUUGAUUACUAAAAUGAUCCCUUUUCCUUGUUUCAUUGGGAUGGCAUAGGGACAAAGCUGAUAUUCCUCGAUUCCAAUCAGAUUCACUUCUCUUCUCUUUACAUCUUUUAGCCUCUGAAUUAGAAACUUGACAAGGAAUGAUUUUACACAAGUUCAAUGCCUUUUCAGUUUCAGGUCAAUUAUUUUUGGUUAAUUUAUUUAAUGGUAUAACUUGAUUUGAACAAUUACCUUAUCAUUUUCCUCAAGUUCUUAGUUUGAUGGCAUGUAGUUGUCGAUUCAAGUGUUGAUUGUAUUUACUUCAUUUUGUCAUUUUAAUUGACGUUCCUGCUUCUUUUAAGUUUUUGGGCUUAUUUGAUUGUAGAUUUUAGUGUUGUUUGUCUUCGAGUAAAUUUGAGUUCUUAUUUAAUGGUAUAACUUGAUUUGAACAAUUACCUGAUCAUUAUCCUCAAAUUCUUAGUUUGAUGGCAUGUAGUUGUCGAUUCGAGUUUCAUGGAUUUUCUUGAGUGUUCUAGUUCAUUCUUAGUGAGCACUGAGCAGCGAAGAGGCAUGCUUUGCUUGUUGCUUCAGAAAUUGGUCAUGGCAGGUACACAUGAAAAAUAAGUAAUUUCAUCCAAAAUAUAAGAUAAUUCAAUAUCACCAACUAUAACUCUUACCAAUUUAUGACUUGUAUAUAACUAUUGUCGUUUACAAAGAAAAAUUAAAUCCAAAAUGUUUGGCAUUAUAUUGUCUUCCAUGUUGUUAUAUGUUUUGUGAUAGCUUGAGGGAACCUGUUUGAAAGUGUGCUAAAACUAAAGAAACAUCAAAGACUCAGAGUAGUGUUAAAAUGAAAAUUGCCACUUCACUCAAAGUGUAGUGGAGCUGUGGAGGACUACAGUUGUUAUUCAGAAGGUUAAUCCAUAGGCCGCUGCCCUCAAAGGUGAGGUGAGUGGAUUUCUAUUUCAAAUAACUAUACUUAAGUUGUUAUUCGACGAGCAGGUGAGUGGAUUUCCAAUUCCUGAAGUUUGAUUUUUGUUUUAGAUUGAGAAAUAUCUAUUAUGGCUCCUUGAGCAAAUUAAGUUGUUGAGUUUUUUCUGAAGUUGAACAGUUUCAUUCUUCAAUUGUUUCUAGUUUUUCUAAUUUUGAAGGUUUAGUUAGAAUCUGAAGCAAUUUAUUGAUCUGGCGGACUUGAAUUUCAAACUUUAUAGGAUUUUGCUUGAUUUUAGAUCUAAAAUGCUGUCAGGAAUACGGAAAAGUUCACCAAUUUUGAAGGUUCUACUAGUAUCUAUUGCAAUUAACAGAUCUAGUCGACUUGAAUUUCAAUUAUUUAGGGUUUUGCUUAUUAUUCAUGAAUUACAAGUGUGUCGGAAACGGCGAUUAAAUCUGUUAAAAGUUCACUACAGUUAAAGGUUCAACCAAGAUUUGAAGUUCUUUACUGAUUUAAACUAUAGAUUUUUGCUUAUGAUUUCUUCAUGAAAUUCAGUGUUCCGGAUAGACGGUAAUUAAAUCUAGCAGAAGUUCACUGUUUUUGAAGGCUCAACUUGAAUCUGAAACUCUGAAGUAACUGACUUAUCUGGUCGACUUUUUCAAACUUCUGAAGGUUUUUCUUAUGAUUUCUUCAUGAAUUUCACGGUGUUGGAAAGAUGACAACUAAAUCUAACACAAAGUUUCACAUCUUGAGAGCGACAAAAAUUCGAUCGAACUUAAAUUGAUUUUGGAACCAAACUUGUAAAAGGAGAUUUUUCUCACUUGAAACGCACCAAAUCUUGAUUAAGGGAAAACGAAGCAGGGAAGAACGUACUCUUUCUUGAAACAGCCGGAAAAUCUACCAUUCGUAUGGUGUUCUGAAAGUUUCCCACUUUCCAUUUUCACAGCAAGCGAGGGAGCAACGACUUUUCAAUACAUAGAAUACCAGUAUGUUGAGGUGUUCAUGGUUGAAUUUGCUGUCCUCAUUUUCCUCUUUUUGGGAUCAGUGGAAGGCUUUAGAGUAAGCAACUCUCUGAUUUCUCCACUCUUUGUCAAUCGACAUCUCGAUGUGAUACAGCCUUUUCUAUUUUAGUUGGGGGAUCCCGCUCCUAAACAUAAGGGGAAGGGGGCCGAAUAAACCCAUUUCUGUGAACCCAAAUAAAUCUGGACUUGAUUGCGCUUGGAUUCUCGAACUCUAAGAGCACCCUAUCAACUUACACCUAAUAUUGACACGACAGAAGAAAGGGGAACGUAGCAGAUCGACCGGAUCGAUCAGAGUAGCCGAUGCGUCUUGGGUAAUAGGGACACAGUAAUAGUAUUUUUUGGUUGUAUCCUUUUGCCACCAACCGGUUGGGUUGGUCCGACCAAGAAAGGCAUGGGAGUCUUUGGGUCUUUUUACUUUCGUUUGGGCCAUGGCGAGGGAAAAUAAAGUACCCCCCAUCAUGGUGAACCUCUCCUUGUGAUCGUGAUGGCUUCUACUUUAAUGCAGAACUCCCAAUAGCAGGAAUUACACUAACAAAAUCCAAGCAUGCACGUACAACCCUUUCAAGAAGUGCAAGCCUGCAUUGUCUACCGCUCUCUUUACCAUUGUGCCUUUCGUGCUCAGUGAUGUUCCCUCUGUCAUCUCUGGUUUUCUAGGAAUGAAGAUUGCUAUUGCCAACGCAAGGACAACCUUGUAACCUUCUGUCAUCAUAGUUUGUUUGAUCACAACUCUCUUUUCUAUCGAUUUCUUUGAAAUUAAAGCUGUCAACAAAAUUGAGCCAGCACCGAAGAAGCAGCUUAUUGUUUUAAUUGUUCUAAUGCAUGUCGGUGUUGAAAUUGUCACUUGCUGUCCAAUCCACUUUCACCAUUUUCAACUUUGGCACUCAAAAGAUUGUCCACAGUUUGUAAGAUUGCCAUUCCUUCUUCAUUUCAAGGAAAGGUGAUAUUAUUAUUUUGGUUCCAUUGGUUAUGAACCUAUUAUAUUUGCCCA